GGGGGUGUAGCUCAAGUGGCAGAGCGUGUGCUUCGCACGCACGAGGUCCGGGGUUCAAUCCCCAGCACCUCCA
RNAcentral lists this transfer RNA (73 nucleotides) under Camelus ferus (Wild Bactrian camel). It matches the Rfam family "tRNA". Rfam says of the family: Transfer RNA (tRNA) molecules are approximately 80 nucleotides in length. Their secondary structure includes four short double-helical elements and three loops (D, anti-codon, and T loops). Lineage: Eukaryota; Metazoa; Chordata; Mammalia; Artiodactyla; Camelidae. The record is from Rfam by way of RNAcentral.